This 133-nucleotide ribosomal RNA is filed under the name uncultured bacterium. RNAcentral's name for it is "partial 16S ribosomal RNA". The record is from RNAcentral.
AGGGGUACCGUCAAUCUACCGGGUAUUAACCGAUAGGGAUUCGUCCCCCUCCACAGAGCUUUACGACCCGAGGGCCUUCAUCACUCACGCGGCGUGGCUGGAUCAGGCUUUCGCCCAUUGUCCAAUAUUCCCC